CCUCCCCACCUUCUCGGGCGGCACGAUCGCGUCUUGUGGGCACCACCUCCUACCCUGGCCAUCGCCCUCACCUAUCUCCCGCGCCACCCAGCGGUCAUGUAUGGAUACGGCCGCCCCCGGCCCCCGGCGCGGCCUCAACCACCGGAUCCGGCUGCCACAACCAUCGGUGCAGACACAAACGACGGAUCCGGCCACUGCCGACCCCUAGCGCGUCAGCCCCCCACUGCCCCUUCCUCCCCGUCAUUCCAUCCUGAGGAGAGAACUCCGGGCACGGAUCCGGUCGCCAUGAGCUACAGUCCCGACCGGUUCGCCCUGCAGGCUGCUCCGUCGAGCCAGUGGUGGAUCCAAGCUCAUCUACGCCCAUACAGUCCAUUGGGUCGGUGCACGCAGCACGCCGGUGUCGCUCCCUGCAGUCUACUCCGUCGAGCCGGCGGCGGAAACAAGCUCAUUUGUGCAUGUGCAGGUCGUCAACGCCCUCAGUGUGGUUCGCCUGUGGAUGCCGAACGGAGCAGGCAUGCAGUGCAGACGACCUUCUCCUCCAUCAAGGAGGCCGCGACCGGUGACCCCCCAGAUGUGCCGACCCCACAGGUGGUCUGCCGGCCUCACCACUCGUUGCAAAAGACCCCUUCCCCUCCAUUUCCGCCACCGGACGACAAGCCGAUGACCUUCUGCUCUGCCUGGCAAGCUACCUCCCGUUCAAUGCCUCCCUCCUUGCAAUGCGUUCGCUCGCAUGCACGGUUCAGCAGGACCGGCUUUGCAGACUAGCCGUGGACGGCCUGUAUUACGCAACUGCGUGCAGUCCACUAUAGAUCAUCACGCGUGCGUAGUUCGCCCGAGUUGCAAAUUUUGAUUUGUUUGUGCGGGAUGGCCGAGUUGAAGUGUGUGAGUGGUCGUCUUGCAGUUCUCGUAGUUCUCUAGUCCUUGUAGUUCUCUAAUGCAAUACUGAAAAAACCAAGUGAAGAUUUCCUUUGUGGUGUGUGUUGUGUAAAAAGAAAAUUGGGGUUUAGUUGAGGCCACGGGCAUGGACCGCACCAUCGUACGGCUGCAUCCCUUGGCUGGAGUCUACGCUCUUCUCCUCGUCUCACAUGACACAUCAACGGUGAGAUCCAAAGUCCGUGGUGAUGGAUAGGUGCAGCUCAGCCACAAUUCCACGAUGAAGUGUCCACCGGCAGCGGCUUGCAGUUCUGGCCAAGGGUCGUGAAGUACACGCCAACGCUCGCCAUCUCUACUUCUUUUUUUUGCAGGAGCUCGCCAUCUCUACUUCGGUGCGCCAUGCAGUACGCUCGUCGCGGUCGUGCGCUUCGCUGGCGACUCUGGACCAGAGAUGCCACGUACAUGCGAGGUUCAGAUGGCCCUGGAGUGCAACUCGGAUGGGCUGCAUGCGAUGGCCUUGGUGUGCUUUUAUUUUUUUCCUGUUGUCCCUGGUUUUGUUGUUUUGAUUGGAGGAAAUUUGAUGCAUUUUGCACCCCUCUAAACGUGCAUUCUUUCAUGGACACAAUUGCAGUACAGUGCAUAGUACGAAGGAGUUCACUUUGUAAAAAAAUGUACAGAGGAGUUCACUUUUUAUUA
Triticum aestivum (bread wheat) is the source of this 1569-nucleotide long non-coding RNA. RefSeq lists it as uncharacterized. NCBI's taxonomy places the organism in Eukaryota, Viridiplantae, Streptophyta, Magnoliopsida, Poales, Poaceae. The record is from RefSeq and is a predicted model, not a curated record. The transcript has 2 exons.